UAGCUGUUGUUCUGCCAAGAGCAUCGCAGCGUAGCUAAGUUUGGAAAGGAUAAACGCUGAAAGCAUCUAAGCGUGAAGCCAACUCUAAGAUGAAUCUUCUCUAAGCUCUCUAGAAGACUACUAGUUUGAUAGGCUGGGUGUGUAAUGGAUGAAAGUCCUUUAGCUGACCAGUACUAAUAGAGCGUUUGGCUUAUCUUU
This 198-nucleotide ribosomal RNA is filed under the name Campylobacter coli. RNAcentral describes it as "partial 23S ribosomal RNA". It matches the Rfam family "Bacterial large subunit ribosomal RNA", at positions 2715 to 2925 of the family's 2925-position model. The record is from RNAcentral. RNAcentral also lists the same sequence under 1 other name. Lineage: Bacteria; Pseudomonadati; Campylobacterota; Epsilonproteobacteria; Campylobacterales; Campylobacteraceae.